RNAcentral lists this long non-coding RNA (2844 nucleotides) under Podarcis lilfordi (Lilford's wall lizard). The record is from RNAcentral. Lineage: Eukaryota; Metazoa; Chordata; Lepidosauria; Squamata; Lacertidae.
UCUCACUCAUGAUCUCUAGUGACUGCUAUUCAGAGGUAUAUGUGAUAUAGAAUCAUAGAACUGUAGAGUUAGGAGGGAUCCAAAGGUCAUCUAGUCCAAAGGGUCAUUAUGUUGGGUUGCGUCCAGGGAGACGGGGGCAAUUGGCAGGCCCCCAGCUGGCUCCAGGCCACCGGCCGGCAGCCGGGCGAACUCCAGUUCUCGGAAUAGCAUCAAAACUGUGACUCAAUCCUCAGAGACCUUUAGAGACUGAGCACGCAAGCCAGCAGAGAUAAGAACUCUUUGCAACGGAAGUAGCGGACAGAGGCAUAUGUAAGCAUAUUUACAAGCAUUUAUUCAGCAUCAGGACAAAGGAAAAAAACUUGUAUGCUUCCCUUCGUGUCCAAGCAAACAGCAUAGGCAAAAGCUAUAUACAACGGAAGUUCCCAGCAGACUGUGCUGGAAGAAAACAGACAUGUGACAUGCAACAACUCCACAUGCCUGUUCUAAAGGUGGAACGGAACUAUAUCCUAACAAUCUAGUCCUCUGCAAUGCAAGAAUCACAGGUAAUGCUGCCUCACUGUGCAGCAGCUGGAGCUCCUGACCCAAGGGCAGUCCCCCAUAGGGAGCACUGUAGUAAUCCAGCCUCAGUUUUAUCAAUCCAUGCACUGCAGUGCUCAGGCUACUAGGGUGAAGCAUGCACACAAAUGCAUAUAUUAGUGAAAAUCAUAUUUAAGGAAUGCAUCGUAUUAGGGAAAAUUGCUUUGCAAAAUUGUGUUUAUUAGGGGAAAUUCAAACUUAAAUGCCAAUGAAUUUUAAUGAGGAUUUUUUUUCUUUUUUUAAAAAAAAAUCAAACUGCAUUGCGGGGUGUUGGACUAGAUGGCACUCAAAGUCCCUACAGUUCUAUGAGUCUAAGAUAUGGAAAUGUGGAGAUGGGGAGUAUAAAUGGAGAAAAUGAAAAAAGUGAAGGGGUGUUCAGAUGUUAAUAUGCAACGAGUGUACAAUUUGCAUACCUGUGGAGACAAAUAGUUGAGCCGUACACUUGUGCAGUCAUUCACGGGUAAUGUUCAAUCAGUGUAUUGCCGAUGUACCUAUGUAUACAGUCGUUGAGCCCUAUGAGUGAACACGUGUAUUCUCUUUCACAAAAACAUCUGUACAUGUGGAGAGACAGCUUGUUCACUGUGGAGAGGAACUGAAAUUGACAGACUCACCCAUCCCUAAUUAUAAGGAAAUGGGACCAGAGAACUACAACUGUUUGCUUGAGGUUUUUAACACCAUGCAACAACAGGUUUCUGUCCCACCUUUUAUUUUUCUGCACAUCUAUAGCUUGUGCAGUUUCAUUAAAGCUUUAUAAAGCUUCAUCACCAGGUCCGUUGGCCCCAGUUAAGAGUCCUUGCAUCACAUCUUCACAAAACCUGCCCUUAUUAGUAUAUAGAUUUGCUAUCGCUAGAGAAAUACCGGUAAAUAUUUUGAGGUGACCUUAAGGUGUGAACCUUCUCAAAGCAUCAAUUUAAAAGCCAAAACAAAUUUAUAUAAUGCAGAAAAGCAACCUAACAUUAAUCAAGGGCACCACGGAUACAAGUAAACAAGAGAAUUAAAUAAAUAAGACCAGCCUUGGAGAUUACUUGUUACUAAGUUGAGAGAUGGUGGAUAUGUGCUGCAGUUGCCAAAAUACCACAAAACACACUGCCUAACAUCCUCUGGUCUCCUCCUACAAGGUUCCUGGUACAGUGGUACCUUGGGUUAAGUACUUAAUUCAUUCCGGAGGGCUGUACUUAACCUGAAACUGUUCUUAACCUGAAGCACCACUUUAGCUAUUGGGGCCUCCUGCUGCUGCUGUGCUGCCGGAGCACAAUUUCUGUUCUCAUCCUGACCUGAAGCAAAGUUCUUAACCUGAAGCAAUAUUUCUGGGUUAACGGAAUCUGUAACCUGAAGCGUAUGUAACCUGAAGCGUAUGUAACCCGAGGUACCACUGUAUUUGCAUUUUGGUGCCCAUUACUUGGCUAGAGAAUCAGACUGCAAAAUUCAGAGAAGUGCAAAUUUUCAAGGAUUGGGUGGUUUCAGUUCUCAGAUUGUUUCAGAAAGUGUGUAUUAGAUAAGUUCAUCAUUCAUUUUGGAAUGAAUCAAAUUCUCUCAACCCACCUCCCUGGCAUCCCUAGGGGGCACAUUGUUAUGGCAGCCUCCACAUGUGACAUGGCAACCAACAAAAGGAGAAACUACCCUGUUAUCCAUUUCCCCAGAUGAUCUAACUGAUCGUAUUUCUGGCAAGCUGGCCCUAAGUUGUUCGGAGCUUUAUAUCAUGAGUGUUGCCUUGUACCCAAUCAACAACCAGGGCAGCUCCCUUGGCAUAGGUGUUGAGAUAGGUGCAUCCUCACCCUUUGAAGUACAUUGGUUGGGAAGGCAGAUCAUGCUUUUAACAAGCCUUUGUGCCAGAUUAAUGGAUCAUUAUUCCUUCUCAUCCGUUGGCUGUUCCAUUUUGUGUUCUUGUUGCUUAGUUAGUUUCCACUGAUGGGACUUUCAAGAUCCUUAUCGAGAGUCACGUUUAUGGCCAUCUGACGGUAAAGAAUUUUUAAUUGAAAAAAUUAUUUUCACUUUGGGCCUAGGAAAUGAAGAACUAGCACACAUCACUCAGAAUCAAGGUGUUUGUGUUUUUUAAGCAUUAAAAAAAGAAAUGUAAGAGAAGUCUGGAGAAUUGCAUUAAACGGAAGAGAGCGGUCUCAUUCAGCAGUGAGUCAGAAGCGAAUCAUCCAACCUUGAACCUCCCUUCAGCCAUCCCAGUAUUGUUGCUGAUGCUGCGGUGACUCUGUUUCAUGGACGCAUCUACCUGAUAAAAUGACUCGCACAUAUGGUGAGUGACUCACCGCAAGG